This 496-nucleotide ribosomal RNA is filed under the name uncultured bacterium. RNAcentral describes it as "partial 16S ribosomal RNA". It matches the Rfam family "Bacterial small subunit ribosomal RNA", at positions 28 to 507 of the family's 1533-position model. The record is from RNAcentral.
GAUGAACGCUGGCGGCGUGCCUAAUACAUGCAAGUCGAGCGAACAAACGAGGAGCUUGCUCCUCUUACUUUAGCGGCGGACGGGUGAGUAACACGUGGGUAACCUACCUAUAAGACUGGGAUAACUUCGGGAAACCGGAGCUAAUACCGGAUAAAAAAUUUAACCGAAUGUUUAAAGUUUGAAAAACGUUUUUGCUUUCAUUAAAGAUGGUCCCGCGCCGCAUUAGGCAGUUGGUAAGGUAAAGGCUUACCAAGGCAACGGAUCGGAGCCGACCUGAGAGGGGGACCGGCCACACUGGAACGGAGAAACGGUCCAGACUCCUACGGGAGGAAGCAGUAGGGAAUAUUCCGAAAUGGGCGAAAGCCGGACGGAGCAACGCCGCGUGAGUGAUGAAGGUCUUCGGAUCGUAAAACUCUGUUAUUAGGGAAGAAGAAAUGUGUAAGUAAAUAUGCACGUCUUGACGGUACCUACCCAGAAAGCCACGGCUAACUACGUG